CCGAAUAUAGCUCAGCGGUAGAGCGGGAGACUGUAGUGUAUGGUAUCUCUAGUCCCUGAUUCUAAUCCGGGUGAACGUA
Molecule: non-coding RNA, 79 nt
Organism: Smittium simulii
Lineage: Eukaryota; Fungi; Kickxellomycota; Harpellomycetes; Harpellales; Legeriomycetaceae
Source: the annotation of a GenBank genome assembly